AGAAUUAUUCAAAUAUAUUUCAACAGGAAUCCGAAGUCAACAAAAUCAUGAAACAAAACCGGAACCAAGCCCAACAUAUCUCCUCUCAAGUUUCAAAACCCUUCUACAUUACAAGCAAACAUUGCAGCAGCAACUAUAACGAGUGAUCCAACCACAUUAUUAUGCAUAAACGUAACUGCGCUAGAUAUAUCCACAGGAGCAACAGGACUCUCUACAUUAGCAGAAGGAACCGCCUUAGUAGGUUUUUCUGCAGGUGCCUGUACUGGUGCUGGAGCUGGAGCAUUGGAUCCAAAAAUGUCCUUAGGAAGUAGCACCUUCUCGAUCUUAUAAAUGGCUAGCUGGUUGUCCGUGUAAACCGUGCCAGAUAAACUUGUAUUGGUAAGUCCUGUGGUUAUGUUCACCGAGUUUGGAUAACUUGUGACAUUAAGUGGUAACCUACUACCUGUUCCAGCCCAUGUUCCAAGAGGAUUACUUACGGUCUGGAACUGGGAAGUCGAUAGAAAUGUUGGAACUACGUGGAACUUCACCAACUCAGACUUGUCUCCAUCACUUAGAGUAUUGAGAGUUCCUGAUUUGAGUUCCGAAAAUGCACUAUCUGUGGGUGCAAAGAUGGUUAUACCAGUGUUGGAAUCAUUGAGCGCGGAGAACAAGUGGUUUUCCUCUUGGGUGGAUCUCAAAAGGCGGAUAAAGAUCGUGAAAUGGCCAGCCUUCUCAAGGAUUUUGGUGACGUUGGUGAUGCCGUGUGGUGCAGCAGCCUGUGUUGGGGUUGCGACUGGAGGUUGUGCUACGACUACUGCUGGUGCCUGUGCUGGGGCUGCUGUUGGUGACUGGGCAAAGGUAUUGAUAUAACACAGGGAAAGAAGAAGCAUUGAAAAUGAGAAGAUUGAGUACUGUUGCUUCAUCUUUAAGUUUCCACGGUAUAAUGCUAGAGAUAAUUAAAAAAUGCUAACGCAAAUUGAGUUCGAUCUUAGUUGGAAGUGUUUGAUGUCUGAAGAAGAGACAGAGUGAGCUUUUAUAGAAGUGGACAGAGGAUCAAACUAGGUGCAAUGUACGAGUUUAGUUAUACAACUUGGUUGCUAGUACCUAUUUUGCUCUGAAAGGUGGAGGGUCAUCAAUGGAUGGGUUUUUUAACAAUGCUGCAGCAACUACUUGGCUUGGAAAAGAAGGAAAAAAUUUCUAAAAAGCAGAUUUCCAGUGGUGUGACAGUAAAUAAAGAUGUCCAUGAUUGUCGAAAUUAUAUUUUAGAAUCAUCACUGUCAGAACAUUUGAGGAUACUUCUUAACUUAAAAAAAAAAAUCUUCUGUCAUGGCAGAAGAUUUGGACAAGCAAUCUUAACGGAACCAUCUUUCUAUAUCUAAAACAGCUAUGGCUCCUUCAGCAUAAUAGAAUGAAUCUUUACUUCCCUGAAUCCAUGACAGACAUCGAUAGACUAACUUUCCAAAUUUACACAGAAAUCAAAUCUCACCUAGACCAUCACUUAAAACAACACAAUCAAGCAACACCUACCUUAUGUACUUGAUUUGAUGUUCGUGGCAAGCCUUCUUUCAAGGUUUAUGCAAUCUCCAGGGGAGAUGCAUUUUAGGGCAGCAAAUAUGUCCUAAUACAUGUUAGGGGAACACUGAUUUUAGAGUAUGGUUUGAAGCUACUGCAGAUGCAGAAUUGACAGCCUACACAGAUGGUGAUUGGCUCGUUCAUUUGAUGAUAUGUAGAGCACAACAUGUUAUGAGUUCAAUUUCGGUUCAGGUGCAUUUUAUUGGAUGACCAACAAGCAAAAACAAUGGCACAAACCACUGCAGAAGCAGAGUACAUAGCUGCAGCAGCUACAGUGUGAAGCAACGACAAUUGAAAUUGAUAACAACUCAGCCAUUGCAAUUGUGAAAAAUCAUGCAAGUCAUGUCAAAACCAAGCAUAUCUAAGUGAAGUUCCAUUUAGUUCAUGAUGUAUAAAAAGCUAAUGAGGCGACCUUAAUCUACUGUGAAGCAGAAAAUCAACUUGAAGAUAUAUUCGUUAAAACUCUUUCUCAAGCCAGAUUUGAAUUUGUCAGGAACAAGCUUGGAUUAUCAAGAAGUCGUCUCAAGGAGGAAUGUCAUACCAAUUUUGAUACUUUUUCUACAUACUUAGUGCAUGUUCUGUAGCAAUCUACUGAUAUUUUGUAAAAAGUAUUGCUGAAGUAAACCUGCUGAAAAUCAUGUGAGGGCAGGUCCCAGUAGUCAAGGGGUGGUGUUGUGAUCCUUGGAUGGCAUUAGGUGGAGUUUUUCUUGAAAGAAAGUUAUAGUAAUCAAAUACUUCUGCGCAUAUAUAAAUGAUAAUGUCAGAUGUGGUAGUACGAAAAAACAAACCGGUUUACAAAAUCAGCAAAGCACUAUCAGUCUUGCUAUCUAUAAUUUCUCUGCUGCAAACAUUCUUGUUGGUCACAAAACCAGCAGUUAUGAAAUUGGAGAGAACCUGAACCUGAUGUUGGCUUAAACUGGAGAAAGAUUCAUUAAGAUAAAACUUUAAAGGCUCCAUUGUAAGCGCAAUGUGCAGGUUAUUUCACAUACAGAUUGGCAAAACUUCAAGUAAAUUAGCUGUACCAUGCAGAUCCAACUUCGAGCACUCAUUUUGUAACUCAAAAUCCUUGAGAUUGCUGAGAGAACUUCCAAAAAUAAACACCACUCAAUGCAAGCAUCUGCGUAUAAUAACAAACUUUCAUGAAAAGCUGUCAUCAAGAACAAUAUAAGUAUUAUCCUACAUUUGCACAAGCAACCAUCUGCAUAUAAUAAGACAAUAGCUCACUAGUUAUACAAAAUUCACAAUGAAAUAUCUGUUUUCACCGUUGUCCUACAAAAUGAAUGAAUUAAUGUGUAGCACUAGCUUAUCUCUAGCUUCAAAACAUCAAUACUUCAAGAAGAAGGAACGAAAAGAAAAGGAUUAUCUUAAUCCUGCAGGGCAGAGCAGUAAGGUGCUUCGCAUGAGCAAGUAACCCAAAACACUAAUCUCCAAUGCUUAAUAUGCUCUUUUCUGUCCAAUAAUGAAUACUUGUUUCAAUCAAACCUGAUAAAUCCUUGAAAUACUACCUACCUAGUACCUACCUUCAAUUGAAUCAUCUCCAACAGCCCACGAUUUGGACAAGUAACCUCAACCUCAAGUGAUGCAUUCUUUUUAGUGAAGGAACUAAGCUUUAGCUCCUGAAACUUUACAGAACAGAACUUUACAUUCUUCAUUCCUUACAACCUUCAACAGAUAAUCUUUUCAAAUAUACAAACACAGAAAUCAAAUCACCCACAAAUUUGAAGAAAACAUCAUUCAAGAAACACUGACCUCAGGGACCUAAGCCCCAAAGAGGCAAUUGGUUUAUCUAACCAAAAGCUAGGAAAUAAGUAGACGACACCAGGGUUACAGUGAGGAAAAAAAAUGAAAUUUGACAGAUCAAGUAUAUAUAUUGCAACUUGAACAAGAAAUUAAAUGAAACCUCAAAAUUCCAUCUUAACCACAAGCUCAAAUCAUACAAACUGGAUUCAAAGUAAAAUCUGAAUUAUUCAAAUUUCAACAGGAAUCCAAAGUCAACAAAAUCAUGAAACAAAACCGGAACCAAGCCCAACAUAUCUCCUCUCAAGUUUCAAAACCCUUCUACAUGACAAGCAAACAUUGCAGCAGCAACUAUAACGAGUGAUCCAACAACCACAUUAUUAUGCAUAAACGUAACUGCGCUAGAUAUAUCCACAGGAGCAACAGGACUCUCUACAUUAGCAGCAGGAACCGCCUUAGUAGGUUUUUCUCGUGCAGGUGCCUGUACUGGUGCUGGAGCUGGAGCAUUGGAUCCAAAAAUGUCCUUAGGAAGUAGCACCUUCUCGAUCUUAUAAAUGGCUAGCUGGUUGUCCGUGUAAACCGUGCCAGAUAAACUUGUAUUGGUAAGUCCUGUGGUUAUGUUCACCGAGUUUGGAUAACUUGUGACAUUAAGUGGUAACCUACUACCUGUUCCAGCCCAUGUUCCAAGAGGAUUACUUACAGUCUGAAACUGGGAAGUGGAUAGGAACGUUGGAACUACGUGGAACUUCACCAACUCAGACUUGUCGCCAUCACUUAGAGUAUUGAGAGUUCCUGAUUUGAGUUCCGAAAAUGCACUAUCUGUGGGUGCAAAGAUGGUUAAACCAGUGUUGGAAUCAUUGAGCGCGGAGAACAAGUGGUUUUCCUCUUGGGUGGAUCUCAAAAGGCGGAUAAAGAUCGUGAAGUGGCCAGCCUUCUCAAGUAUUUUGGUGACGUUGGUGAUGCCGUGUGGUGCAGCAGCCUGUGUUGGGGUUGCGACUGGAGGUUGUGCUACGACUACUGCUGGUGCCUGUGCUGGGGCUGCUGUUGGUGACUGGGCAAAGGUAUUGAUAUAACAAAGGGAAAGAAGGAGCAUUGAAAAUGAGAAGAUUGAGUGCUGUUGCUUCAUCCUUAUUUUUUUGGGAUAAAAUGCUCGAAACAAUUCAAAUAUACUAAUGCAAAUUGAUCUCAAUCAUAAAGUGUUUGAUGUGUAAAGAUGAGAUAGAGUGAGGUUUUUAUAGUAGUGGACAGAGGAUCAAGUUAGGUGCAAUAUACAAUUUUAGUUAUACAACUAGAUUGCUAGUACCUUAUCUCACUCCAAAAGCUGUAGGGUCAUCAAUGGAGAGGGAAAUUUAACAAUGCUGCAGCAACUACUUUCCUUGGAAAAGCAGGCAAAAAAAAAAGGUUCUAAAAGGUAGAUUUCAAGUGGCUGUGACAACAAAUAAAGAUGUCCAUGAUUGUGAAUCAUCACUAGCAGAACAGCUGAGCAUGCUUCUUAACAUCAAAACAAAUCAUCUAUAAUGACAGAAGAUUUAGACAAGCGAUCUAAACUGACCUUUGUAUCGUAAAUAGCCAAGUCUUUGCUCUUUUAGCUUAAAAGAACGAAUAUUUACAUCCUUAAUCCUUGACAGACAUUGAUAGAUCACUAAUUUUCUAGAUUCGCACGCUCAGAAAUCAAAUCUCACACCAGACCAUCACUUAACACAACUUCAUGAAGAAACACUUACCUUAUGUACAUGAGCCCGUAGAGGUCAUGCUAUUGAUAAAAGUGAUUUUGCAGUAUGCAAACGCAAGUCUUGAAACUUUAAGAUAGCCAUUUCGAAGUAAAAGGAAUUGUGUUCUUUUACAUGAUGUUGAAUGGCAUAAUAGUCUUUUAUUCAUGGAGAGGAUGAAAGAAAAGGCAAGGAGCAGAAAAUGUCUCAGUUGGUUACUGUCAUCCCCAGUGUUUUAUUUAUAGAAGGAAACAAACAUUACAGAAAAUGAAACACUAAAGAAACGUACUAGCUAUGUUCUCCUUUAUCAAAGGAGUUAUAUAACAAGCUAGUCUAAUCCUAGAUAAGCUUAAACAAAUGAAUUGAAAGAAACAUCCUAAUCUAGAUAAUGCUAUCAGCUAACAGAUAAAUAGCUAUCAGCUAACAAAUAGAUAACAAUGCAGUAGAUUACUACAAAGUAAUCCUGUUCCAGCUUUGGUACCAAACUUCAACACUCCUCCUUGGUUCCAAAGCUACACAUUCCAAUUCUUCCUCUCAGAUCUUCAAACAUGUUUCCUGUUUCUAGUUCAACUGCUGCUUUGAAUUUAACAAACUCAGCAAACACAUAAGAUUUUGAUUUGAGGCAAGGGAUUCUGUACUAGAGCUCAAGCCUUUUAUUCAUGUUAAACGUACUAGGAUGAAUGGAUCAUGCUUCCACCAAAACCAUGAUUUUCCUCCAUAAUGCAGCAAAUCAUAGAAGGGUUUUUCUGGCAGUCGUCUGUCACAUUCAGUUUAUGAAAAUUGUGAUAUAACCUCGACAAUUUUACUGAUUGGAAUCCACUUCCUCAAGCUUAAAGUAACAAUCCUAUGCUCUCUAACACUCUCUUUUCUCUAAUUAUCAACACCAGCAGUUUUGAAACAGGAGAAAAGAACUUAACCUGAUGUGGGAUUGCUUAAACUAGAGAAAAAUUCAUUCUGAGGAAACUUAAAAGGUUCCUGUGUGAGAGCAAUACAGCAGAUUUGUUCACAUUAAGUUUAGUAGAAGUUCAAGAGAUAACCUAGUAAAGGUAGUUCUGUUUCAGAAGCCUGAUUUCUUGAUAAUUAGCAUUUUCUACUCUUUUGCAUUAUGUUCAGCCUCGCAUUCAAAUGUUGUCAGCAGAACCAUAUAUAAUCUUACAGAUUAAAGAGAACAACAUUUUGAUUCCAACCACUUCAAAAACUUGUAAUGAAAUAUUUGCUUUCACCAUUGUCCUGCAACCUCCUUUUCCUUUCUCUCUACCCUCCUUAAUGCAUGCUUUGUCUUCCCUGAUCGUCAAAUAAUCAUCUCAAUCCAAUAACUUAAGUUAUUAGAUGAGAUUCCAAGAUAUGAUUUAUAUCAUUCUCUAACACACACCCCUCAAGUAAAAGUCAAUUAAGCUUGAAACUUGCACAUGCCCACACUAUCUUGUGCUUAAUUUUUAUCAAAUAAAUAGGGAUGGUGAGAUUCAAACUCAUGACUGUUUGGUCAUUAAAGUUCUGAUACCAUGUCAAAGAAUCAUCUCAUCUCAAUAGCUUAAGAUGUUAGGUAAGGUUCUAAGAUAUGAUUUAUAUUAUUCUCUAACACACCUCUUCAAGUGAAAGCCCUUUAGGCUUAAAACUUGUACAGGUCCGCACUACCUUGUACUUAAUUUUUAUCAAAUAAAUAGGGAUGGUGAGAUUUCAAGAUAUAAUUUAUAUAUUAUUCUCUAACAUAUCACUUCAAGUGAAAGGCCUUUGAACUUGAAACUUGCAUAGAUCCAUACUACCUUGUGCUUAAUUUUUAUCAAAUAAAUAGGGAUGGUGGGAUUCGAACUCAUGAUCGUUUGGUCAUCAAGACUCUGAUAUCAUGUCAAAGAACCAACUCAACUUAAUAACUUAAAUUGUUAAGUGAGGUUCUAAAAUUUUGAUUUAUAUUAUUCUCUAAUAAUAUCGUGAUAGUUUGCCCCGUGCUCACCCUUAUUAGCCGACAUCCCCAUAUCUCUGCAUCAGAAAAAUCUUCUUUCUGAGGGAAGUAAUCCGAUAAACCUUCCUCCAGAUCCAGUAAGUUAAUGUUCAAUAAAAAAACAUAGCAACAACUAGCAAGCAAAAACUACAACCUCUUAAUAUGACAUCUCAGCCGAAAAAUCUCCGAAACCUCCAAAAAUCUCACUCCAUUUACUCCUCCGAUAACUAGACUUCCAAGAAAUAGAACCACCAACACAACCACUAUUAUCUAAGAAACAGUUAGGGCAUGAUUCGAUGACACCAGGGUGAUCAUAAAAAAACAACAAAUGAAGUUUGACUAAUCAAGUACAUGUUUAGCAAUUUGAUCAAGAAAUUAAAUAAAACCUCGAAACCAUAACCUAAAAUCAUACAAACUGGAUUCAAAGUAAAAUCAGAAUUAUUCAACACACACCAAGCUUUCAAUCCAACUCAGAAAAUUUAGACGCUGCCGGACCCAACCCAGCUUAUCUCAUCUCGAGAUUCAAACCCUUUUACAUUAUAAAGCAAAGAUUGCAGCAGCAACUGCACCAACUGAUCCAACCACGUUAUUACGCGUGAACAUGACUGCGCCAGAUAUAUCCACUGGAGCAACAGGACUCUCAACAUUAGCUGCAGGAACUGCCUUAGUAGGCUUUUCUGGUGCGGGUGCUACUGGUGCUGGAGCUGGGGCCUUAGAAGCAAAAAUGUCCUUAGGAAGUAGCACCUUCUCAAUCUUAUAAAUGGCUAGCUGGUUGUCCGUGUAUACCGUGCCAGAUAAACUUGUAUUGGUAAGUCCUGUGGUUAUGUUCACCGAGUUUGGAUAACUUGUUACGUUAAGUGGUAACCUACUACCUGUUCCAGCCCAUGUUCCAAGAGGAUUACUUACAGUCUGAAACUGGGAAGUGGAUAGGAAUGUUGGAACUACGUGGAACUUCACCAACUCAGACUUGUCACCAUCACUUAGAGUAUUGAGAGUUCCUGAUUUGAGUUCCGAAAAUGCACUAUCUGUGGGUGCAAAGAUGGUUACACCAGAGCUUGAAUCAUUAAGCGCGGAGAACAAGUGGUUUUCCUCUUGGGUGGAUCUCAAAAGGCGGAUAAAGAUCGUGAAGUGGCCAGCCUUCUCAAGGAUUUUGGUGACGUUGGUGAUGCCGUGUGGAGCAGCUGCCUGUGUUGGAGUUGCGGCUGGGGGUUGUGCUACGACUACUGCUGGUGCCUGCGCUGGGGCUGCUGCUGGUGACUGGGCAAAGGUAUUGGUAUAGUGGAGGAAAAGAAGGAAAACUGAAAUGGAGGAGAUUGAGUACUGUUGCUUCAUCUUUAAGUUUCCAGGCUAUUCUACUAGAAACUAUAAAAAAAAUGCUUAUGUAAAUUGAGCUCGAUCUUAUUUAGAAGUGUUUGAUGUCUAAAGAAGAGACAGAGUGAGGUUUUAUAGUAGUAGGCAGAGGAUCAAGUAAGGUGCCAUGUACAAUUUCAGAUAUACUAUCUAGUACCUUAUCUUGCUCCAUAAGGUGGAAGGUCACCAAUGGAGAAGGAAAUUUAACAUUGCUGCUCCAACUACUUUCUGAAUUAUCACUGGCAGAACAUUUGAGCAUAAAUGUGAACAUCAAAACAAAUCAUCUGUAAUGACAGAAGAUUUGGACAAGCAAUCUCUACUGACCCAUCUCUAUAUCUAAAACUGCUAAGAAUUGUGUCUUUAAGACAUGUCCUGAUGUUUUGAAAUAAAUGAGUAGGAAAAUGCAACAAAGUCCUUGGAGGCUUAAAAAUGGAUAUAAAUGAACGAGGGAGGGGUAUUGUAAUAAUUGAAUAAACAUAAUAAGUAUAAAUAGAAAAAAAAAAAAAAAAAAGAGAUCUGAAAAUUUUGAGAGAUAACCGGCAGGAGUGAAGGGAGAAAAAAGAAGAAGAAGAAGAAAAAAGAGGGAAAGAUAAGGGAAAUAGAAGAGAAUUAGAGAAAAUAAGCUUAAAGUUAAGAUUAUGUAUAAAUGUGUGUUCUUUAAGCUUUAAAUUUCUGUUUUGUUGAAUGUUAAGGUUUUAAAGAUUGUGUUUUGGUUGAUUGAUGAAUUGAUUUGAAUGUUAUGGGUUGAUUGUUAUGGGUAAUGAAUUGUUUAGUUGAUUUUGAAAGAUUUUAGGUAAAGAUGAUGAUUUUGAAUUAUGAUUUUGUUUAAAUGGUGAAUUUGAGUUAGAAAUCUUGAUAUAACAGUAGGUAAUCUGUGAAAUUCUGGGUUUGAGGUUGAAGAUGACAAAAUUUAGUUUGGUCCCUCAAUUUGUGAAAAUUACAAGUUAGUCCCUAAACUUUGUAAAAAAACACAGAUUGGUCCCUGGAGCAUAUUCCGAGAUUCUGGACAGAAUAAAAGAUGAAUUAUGGGCAGAAUUCCAGUAUAAUUAUGAAUUUUUAACACUUUCAAUUUGGUCCUUCCAUUUGACAAAAAUUACAAUUUGACCCUAAAAAUUUGGAAAAAUUCCAGAAUGGUCCCUGGAGCAUAAUUAGAGAUUCUGGACAGAACUGAUGAUAAAUUAUGGACAUAAUACCACUAUAGUCAUGAAUUUAUGAUAUUUUUAGUUCGGUCCUCCAAUUUGACAAAGUUACAAUUUGACCCUUAAAAAUAUAAUAAAUUCCAAAUUGGUCCCUAGCUGUAAUAUUAGCUUUUGCAAAUUGGUUUGAUGAAUAAUUGAGGAUUAUUUAGUGAAUUAUUAUCAAGUCUUGUUAUUUGUUUUAUUAUGAAUUAGAUUUCGGGAAUACUAUUUAAUUUUGGGUUUUUGGAAAAAUGACUAGUUUAGUUUAAAAACAUAUAGGGUUAUGGAAUAGACCCUUAUUUAAGUGUAUUAAAUAGGUUGAACGUUCUUUUCGAGUCGUUUUUUAAUAUGUCUCCUUUGUAUUCAGAUAAUCUUGAUAUUCUAUCGACAAGACAUUAGUAGGAUUUUCUUCGGUAUCUGCUUUCGAGUUAUGUUUGCUUUCGAGUCAGAUGAGUGGAUAAUUUUCCAUAUGCAUGAGAAAUAUUAUAAAUAUUUGAUUUGUUAAUAUGAAUUGGAUCAUGCUUCUUGAUAAUAUAUAUGUUGAUUAUUAUCUUUGUUACGAUAAAGCAUGAUCAAUUGUUGAAUCUGAAUUCUUGAUAUGAACUAAUAUAUAUUUUGAAUUGACUUUUGAGUUGAUAGCUCCUCAUUUGAUUAAUGUCAUGAGUUGAGCCUUGAGAUAUGAAUAUGUCUGUUUGAUUAUGAUUAUGAACUUACGGUAUGUCAGUCAGAAUACUCAUGCUAACAGGGUAGUAUUAGUCUUUGUGCACAUCGUAUCUGAACCCUAGUUGGUCGGGGGAGUCACAACCUAUGUGGACUGAUCAUCCCACAAUAUUACGGAGCCUCAUGCUCAUUGCAUUUUGAUUUUGUGACGAGCUUUACCUUAUGAUAUUUUUGUUAUUAUCUAUUUGAGAAACCUUUCUAUAAGAACCUAGAGUCAUAAUUGUAUAUAUAUUUCUCAUUGUUGUAUUACCUCUUGUGUGUAUAUUGAACGUUAUCUACUCACUGAGUUGUUGAACUCACCCUCUCAUUAUUUAUCUUUUCAGGCUUAUAGCUUGUUAGCGGGUCAUUUUGUUGGACCUUCAGGACCUGCUUUUUUGUUGAAAUUUGUAUUUUUUCCUUAUGUCUAGUUAGUGCUCCACAACUAUGAAUUUAUAUUAACUCUUGUAUUAAAAUAAUCAAAUUAUAUAAUGAAGUUAAUUUUGUUAUUAAUGUUGCGUUGAACUCACAUUGAGGUAUUUGAAGGUUAAGUUUGUAUGUAAGUCUGGGUUCGUAUAGGUAUAUGGAACCUUGAAGAGGAACUUUACUUGUGUGCCGGUCAUGGAUCUGGGAAUCGGGUCAUGACAUGUCCAACCUAAAACUCUGCCAAAAAAACAUCUUUUAGCUCAAAUGCUUAAGAUUUAAAGAAGAAAAAAUAAAAAUGUUGAAAUUCAAACUUGUUUGGUCAUUAAGUCUCGUGGUAUAAAAUAAGAAUUUCAACUCAAAAGCUGAAAUUAUUAGGUGAAGCAUCAAUAUAUAAUUUUUGUUAAUAGGUAUCACAUUCAAAUGCAGUUAACAGAACUGUAAAGUUACGGAUUGAAGAUAACUACAUUUUGAUUUGAACUAUGCUUGUAAGAGUUCGAAAAUCACAACGAAAAUAUAUGUUUUCACCAUUGUCCCACAACAUGUAUGAAUUAAUUUGUAUACUUUAAUCUCCUGUGAAAAAUUGAAUAAACAGCUGUUAGUUCACACUAACUUAAUACUGACUGGAAACGUUAAGACUGUAACAACAACAAAGGAUUAACGUAUUCCUGCAACAUGGUACAGUAAGAUGCUUUGGCAUGAAAUAUUUGCUUCAAUGAAACUGUAAUGUUUUGAAUUAAUGAAUUGGAAAAUACAACAAAGCCCUUUGUGGCUUAAAGUGUGGGUAUAAAUGAAUGAGGGGUAGUGUGGUAAUUAGAUAAACAUAAUAAAUAUAAAUAGAAGAAAAAAAACAAAAGAAGGAUCUGAAAAUUUAAGAGAGAAUCGGCAGAAGAGAAGGGAGAAAGAAGAAGAAGAAGAGAAAAGAGGGAAUUAAAAGGGAAAUAGAAAGGAGUUGAAGAGAAUAAGUUUAAAGGUAAGAUUUAGGUUGUUAAAUGUAUAAAUGUAUGUUAAUUGAACUUAAUUUCAGUUUUGAUAAAUGUUAGGGUUUUGAAAAUUUGUGUUUUGGGUUUAAUUGAUGAAUUAAAUUGAAUGUUAUAAGGUUGAUUGUUAUGGGUAAUUGAUUAAUGAGUUGAUUAUGGAAGAUUGUGAUGAUUUUGAGUUAUGAAUUGUGUAAAUGGUGAAUGUUGAGUUAGAAAUUUGGCAAGAACAGUAGGUAAUCUGUGAGAAUUCUGGGUUUGAGGUUGAAGAUGACAAAAUUUCGGUUUGGUCCUUUAAUUUUGAAAAAUUACAGAUUAGUCCCUAGCUGUAAUAUUAGCUUUUGCAGAUUGAUUUGAUGACUAAUUAAGGGUUAUUUAGUAAAUCAUUAUCAAUUUUAUUAGUUGUUUUAUUAUGGAUUAGAUUUCGGGAAAACCGUUAAAUUUUGGGUUUUUGAGAAAAUUGACUAGUUAGUUCAAAAACAUAUAGGGUUAUGAAAUACACCCUUAGAUAAGUGUAUUAAAUAGGUUAUAUAUUCUUUUGAGUCAUUCUUGAAUAUGUCUCCUUUGUAUUCAGAUAAUCCUGAUAUUCUACCAGCGGGACGUCAGUAGGAUUUUCUUCGGUGUCUGCUUUUGACUUCUGUUUGCUUUUGAGUCAGGUGAGUGGAUAAUUUUCCAUAUGCAUGAGAAAUAUUAUAAAUAUUUGAUUUGUUAAUAUGAAUUGGAUUAUGCUUCUUGAUAAUAUAUAUGUUGAUUAUUAACCUUGUUUUGAUAAAGCAUGAUCAAUUGUUGAAUCUGAAUUCUUGAUAUGAACCAGUAUAUAUUUUGAAUUGAAUUCUGAAUUGAUAGCUCCUCAUUUGAUUGGUGUCAUGAGUUGAGCCUUGAGAUAUGAAUAUGUCUGUUUGAUUAUGAUUAUGAAUAUAUGGUAUGCCAGUCAGAAUACCCAUGCUAACAGGGUAGUGUUAGUCUUUGUGCACAUCGUAUCUGAACCUUAGUUGGUCGGGGGAGUCACCAACCUGUGUGAACUGAUCAUACCACAGUACGGAGCCUCAUGCUCAUUGCAUUUUGAUUUUCUGACAAGUUUUACCAUAUGACAUUCUUGUUAUGGCCAAUUUGAGAAACCUUUCUGUAAGAACCUAGAGCCAUACUUGUAUAUAUAUUUCUCAUUGUUGUAUUACCUCGUGUGUGUAUUGAACGUUAUCUACUCACUGAGUUGUUGAACUCACCAUCUCAUUAAUUAUCCUUUUCAGGCUUAUAGUUUGAUAGCAGGUCACUUUUGUUGAAACUUCCGAACCUGCUUUUUGGUUGUAAUUUGUACCUUUCUUUUAUGUCAAGUUAGUGCUCCAAAACUAUGAAUUAUAUUAACUCUUGUAUUAAGACAAUUCAAUUAUAUUAUGAAGUUGAUUUUGUUAUUAAUGUUGCGUUGAACUCUGAUUAAGUUAGGAUAAGUUUGUGUGUAAGUUUAGGUUCGCAUAGGUAUGGAACCUUGGAGGGGAACCUUGCCUAUGUGCCGGUCAUGGAUCCGGGAUUCGGGUCGUGACAGAAACCAUACAACCUCCCCACCUUAAAUUGAAUAGUCUCUGGUGAUCCAAGAUUUGGACAAGGAAUAUCAGGCAAUUCAUCCUUGUUAGUGAAGGAACUAAGUUUUAGCUCUUUCAGAUUUCAAUAGCAAUUUUUUACGUUCUUCAUUUACCUCCAACCUUCAAGAGAUACGCUCUCCGAACUCACACACCCAGAAAACAAGUCACCCACAAAGUCAUCUGCUAAAAAGCAAUUUCCAAGAAACGUUGUCACUGACCUCAGGAAGUCAAGCCCCAUGAAGGCAAUACUCAUUAUUUUGUACUGAAAAUAAUAUUUAAGCCUCAAAAUCUUAACACAUCCAUUUCUUAGCAUAAAGGAAGAGAAAAGUCUCCGAGGGAGAAAUUGAAGUAAAUUUCAUGUACAUUGCCCUUAAUGGCAUAAUCAAUCCACUGGGGAUACCAGAGCGAAGACAGAAUUUGAAACGGGAAGAGGAAGGAGGGUAUUAUCAACAAAUUCGAUGCAAACGGGGAGGGAAGUGCGGUGGGAGUUGUGAGAGUCAUCAUCAUACUAUUAAUAAAGACUAGUAAACAGGAAUUUGGAUGCACUAGCUAUAAGCUAGUCAGAAAAGAUCAAGCAUGAUCAUUCGCAUGAAAUGCUGGGGGAGGGAAGAACUUCCGAUUGAAUAAAACUCAAUAAGUUCAUGAAUCAUACUUCUUCGGAUCGAAAUGGGGGGGGAAGAACUUCCGAUUGAAUAAAACUCAAUAAGUUCAUGAAUCAUACUUCUUCGGAUCGAAAUAAAUCAUCUCUGGCAUUUCUCUGCUGCUUCCUUCUUACUGUUUUUCUCCCUGGUCAGUGGUGACAAUCUACUUCAAUCUCUUUCGGCCUCCAUUAUCUCAUAACUCACCUUCCUUCAUUCCUCCACCAAUCUUGCAAUCACUUUUCCUUCGCUUCAUAUUUCCUGCAAGCUUUCUCUCCUCUGCUAUCAUGAUACGUUGCCCCAUAUUCACCCCACUUAGCCAACACCCCCCUAAGAUCGGAUCAGAAGAACCAUCCCCAGAGGAAAUAACCCUAAGAACCUUCGGCAAGUUAAUAUCCGCGAAAAAAGAUGUCAACAGCUUGCAAGCUUUUGCAACCCCCUGAAUAGGACUUCUCAGCUUGACAACCCUCGUCUCCUCCAAAAAUUCCACUUACUACUCAUCCUCCAGUAAGUAUUCAUCCUCCAGUAAGUAUACUUCCCCAGAAAUUGAUUCACCAAUCCAACCACCAUUAUCUACCCGAAAACUAGGAAAUGAUUAGAUGACACCCGGAUUAUAGUAAAAAAAAAAAAUUGAAAUUUGACUAAUCAAGUACCAAGAAAUUAAAUAAAAUCUCAAAACUCAAUUUUAAUCGUAAACUCAAAGCAUACAAACUGGAUUCAAGGUCAGAUCGAAAUUACUCAACAGAUUCAAUACAGCUCAGAAAAAUAUAACAUCAAAACCAGACCAAACCCCACCAAAUUUCAUCUCAAGAUUCAAACCUUUAUACAUUACAGAGCAAACAUUGCAGCAGCAACUAUGCCAACUGAUCCCACCACAUUAUUAUGUGCGAACAUAAGUGCACUAGAUAUAUCCACAGGAGCCACGGGACUCUCUACGGUUGCUGCAGGAACUGCCUUUGUAGGCUUUGCUGGUGCAGGUGCUACCGGUGCUGGAGCUGGAGCCUUUGAAGCAAAAAUGUCCUUAGGAAGUAGCACCUUCUCAAUCUUAUAAAUGGCUAGCUGGUUGUCCGUGUAUACUGUGCCAGAUAAACUUGUAUUGGUAAGUCCUGUGGUUAUGUUCACUGAGUUUGGAUAACUUGUGACAUUAAGUGGUAACCUACUACCUGUUCCAGCCCAUGUUCCGAGAGGGUUACUUACGGUCUGGAACUGGGAGGUCGAUAAGAAAGUAGGAACUACAUGAAACUUCACUAACUCAGACUUGUCUCCAUCACUUAGAG
Molecule: long non-coding RNA, 15052 nt
Filed under: Populus trichocarpa (black cottonwood)
Lineage: Eukaryota; Viridiplantae; Streptophyta; Magnoliopsida; Malpighiales; Salicaceae
Description: long non-coding RNA (PTRI_LNC003158)
Source: RNAcentral